GCUGGCGGUGCGCCUUAUGCAUGCAAGUCGAGCGAAGCUUUUCAGUAGUUUACUACAGAAAAUGACUGAGCGGCGAACGGGUGAGUAACGCGUGAGCAAUCUACCUUAGUUACAGGGAUAGCCCGAGGAAACUCGGAUUAAUACCUGAUAUUCUUUAUUUCUCGCAUGAGAAUAAAAGGAAAGGUCAGCCGAACUAAGAUGAGCUCGCGUUCUAUCAGCUAGUUGGUGAGGUAAAAGCUUACCAAGGCUACGACGGAUAGCUGGUCUGAGAGGACGAUCAGCCACACUGGGACUGAGACACGGCCCAGACUCCUACGGGAGGCUGCAGCAGGGAAUAUUGUGCAAUGAACGAAAGUUUGACACAGCGACACCGCGUGUGGGAUGACGGAUCUAGGUUUGUAAACCACUUUCAGGAGGGAAGAAAAUGACGGUACCUCCACAAGAAGCCCCGGCCAACUACGUGCCAGCAGCCGCGGUAAUACGUAGGGGGCGAGCGUUGUCCGGAUUUAUUGGGCGUAAAGAGCUCGUAGGCGGUUCAACAAGUCGGUCGUGAAAGUUCAGGGCUCAACCCUGAAAUGUCGAUCGAUACUGUUGUGACUAGGAUACGGUAGAGGUGAGUGGAAUUCCGAGUGUAGCGGUGAAAUGCGUA
This 649-nucleotide ribosomal RNA is filed under the name uncultured bacterium. Its description in RNAcentral is "bacterial SSU rRNA". It matches the Rfam family "Bacterial small subunit ribosomal RNA", at positions 35 to 692 of the family's 1533-position model. The record is from RNAcentral.